Long non-coding RNA from Osmia lignaria (orchard mason bee), 1336 nucleotides. RefSeq lists it as uncharacterized. The record is from RefSeq and is a predicted model, not a curated record. NCBI's taxonomy places the organism in Eukaryota, Metazoa, Arthropoda, Insecta, Hymenoptera, Megachilidae.
AUUAUGCAUCGUUCGCUGACUGAUUGACUGACUUCCUAUGACGAACACGGCCGCCGAUGGUACAGUUAAACGAGCGAUCUAAUAACCCGGAAAAUCGUGAAAUCGGAUGGCAGUUCGAAAGGGGGAAAAUUCCAACAGUUUCCCAGGGAGCAACCAACUGUAAUUUCACUGUGCAAACGGAGAACACGCGAUGAAACGAAUUAUCUAUUCCUCUUUCAACGAUGAACCGCUUCCCGAGUGCAGAAUGGAAAGGCGAAUGGCGCGAUUAACCAGAAGUAUUCAGCAUGAAAGACACCCGCCUCUAUGCUUCGGAUAUAAUUGGAGCACCAUCGAGGGAAGCAAGUUUGCUUGAAUACGAAAGUAGAAAGGAAGAAAAAGGACUGGUUCGCGUUUAAUCUUUCGACGCGGAGCACCGGUUGGUACUUUUAGCAACGAGUAAACUACUUCAACCUUGACUGAACCACUCCACGUCCGCGAUUCACUUAGCUCCGCGUCGCGGAACCGCAACUAUCCGUCUGGAAUUCAAACUAGCCGAGAGCCUAGGAGGAAUCCUUGGUUGAAGCAACGGUCCCAAGUUUUUCCUUUGAGCAAACAAGAGACCGAGCGUGCCGAUGCUUAUGCAAAACCCGCAACAAAAGGUACUACGGGACAACCCUUUUAACGAUGUCCAUAUCCGUUCAAUUCUUUUCAUUUGCUUAAACGGUAAAUGAACUGUCGAAUGGAUGACAAUAGUUUUCAAAUUUCGGGAAAAGAAGAAAAAGGGCGCGAAAAAGUACGUAAUCGUCAAAGUGUCCAAUAAACGUUGCAAAAACAAGCUAAAGUGAACUAGAGCGAGAUUCGCUCUAGAACCAACCCAUCUUCGGCCAUUUCCGGACAGACCGGAAGUGGCAAAGAAAAAAAUUUUUUUCGGCCACACCUUGAGAUUUUGACACACUAAACACAAUGGCGCAAGAAGUUUUUCGAUAACUCUUACCGUUUGGCCUGUACAAAAGUGACAGAAAGUCUAAAGCCCUCUUAUCAAGAUUUUCAAUCUUAAAAACGGAUUGGCUAAUAAAUUGCAAAGAUUGCCUAAUUAACUUUACGUUUUCAAACUCCUAUCUCUAAUUCAUCGCGCUACCAAUUUCACGGACGUUUUUAAUCAAUUCAGAUCAUCACGCGAUACGUCGAAUCGCACGGUACAAUCGAGUAUCGAAUCAAUUCAUCUAAAAGCUCCGUUCAUUCUCUUAUCGUUCGAUGCGUUUUGCGAUACCAAUUGUUCUGAAAUUUUCAAAUUUUCACGAUACAACUAUCCAAUAUCAGCAGCUUCCUUUGAUUAGAUUCGCAAAAAAAAAAAAAA